GAUCAUGGCUCAGGAUGAACGCUAGCUACAGGCUUAACACAUGCAAGUCGAGGGGCAGCAUGAACUUAGCUUGCUAAGUUUGAUGGCGACCGGCGCACGGGUGAGUAACACGUAUCCAACCUUCCGUUUACUCAGGGAUAGCCUUUCGAAAGAAAGAUUAAUACCUGAUAGUAUGGUGAGAUUGCAUGAUAACACCAUUAAAGAUUUAUUGGUAAACGAUGGGGAUGCGUUCCAUUAGAUAGUAGGCGGGGUAACGGCCCACCUAGUCUUCGAUGGAUAGGGGUUCUGAGAGGAAGGUCCCCCACAUUGGAACUGAGACACGGUCCAAACUCCUACGGGAGGCAGCAGUGAGGAAUAUUGGUCAAUGGGCGAGAGCCUGAACCAGCCAAGUAGCGUGAAGGAUGACUGCCCUAUGGGUUGUAAACUUCUUUUAUAAAGGAAUAAAGUCGGGUAUGGAUACCCGUUUGCAUGUACUUUAUGAAUAAGGAUCGGCUAACUCCGUG
RNAcentral lists this ribosomal RNA (503 nucleotides) under uncultured bacterium. RNAcentral describes it as "bacterial SSU rRNA". It matches the Rfam family "Bacterial small subunit ribosomal RNA", at positions 15 to 507 of the family's 1533-position model. The record is from RNAcentral.